RNAcentral lists this unclassified non-coding RNA (23 nucleotides) under Arabidopsis thaliana (thale cress). The record is from RNAcentral. Lineage: Eukaryota; Viridiplantae; Streptophyta; Magnoliopsida; Brassicales; Brassicaceae.
AACUCACGCAAUGCACUUCUCUA